GUGCCAGCAGCCGCGGUAAUACGGAGGGUGCAAGCGUUAUCCGGAUUCACUGGGUUUAAAGGGUGCGUAGGCGGACAGGUAAGUCAGUGGUGAAAUCUCCGGGCUUAACUCGGAAACUGCCGUUGAUACUAUCUGUCUUGAAUAUCAUGGAGGUAAGCAGAAUAUGUCAUGUAGCGGUGAAAUGCUUAGAUAUGACAUAGAAUACCGAUAGCGAAGGCAGCUUACUACAUGUUAAUUGACGCUGAGGCACGAAAGCGUGGGGAGCAAACAGGAUUAGAAACCCCCGUAGUCC
This 292-nucleotide ribosomal RNA is filed under the name uncultured bacterium. RNAcentral's name for it is "partial 16S ribosomal RNA". It matches the Rfam family "Bacterial small subunit ribosomal RNA", at positions 505 to 796 of the family's 1533-position model. The record is from RNAcentral.